This 69-nucleotide transfer RNA is filed under the name Marmota marmota marmota (Alpine marmot). It matches the Rfam family "tRNA". From Rfam's summary of the family: Transfer RNA (tRNA) molecules are approximately 80 nucleotides in length. Their secondary structure includes four short double-helical elements and three loops (D, anti-codon, and T loops). Further hydrogen bonds mediate the characteristic L-shaped molecular structure. tRNAs have two regions of fundamental functional importance: the anti-codon, which is responsible for specific mRNA codon recognition, and the 3' end, to which the tRNAs corresponding amino acid is attached (by aminoacyl-tRNA synthetases). tRNAs cope with the degeneracy of the genetic code in two manners: having more than one tRNA (with a specific anti-codon) for a particular amino acid; and 'wobble' base-pairing, i.e. permitting non-standard base-pairing at the 3rd anti-codon position. The record is from Rfam by way of RNAcentral. RNAcentral also lists the same sequence under 2 other names. Lineage: Eukaryota; Metazoa; Chordata; Mammalia; Rodentia; Sciuridae.
GGGGUUGUAGCUCAGUGGUAGAGCGCUUGCCUAGCAUGUAUGAGGCACUAGGUUCAAUUCUCAGCACCA